This is a long non-coding RNA of Megalobrama amblycephala (Wuchang bream), 1104 nucleotides long. RefSeq lists it as uncharacterized. The transcript is spliced from 4 exons. The record is from RefSeq and is a predicted model, not a curated record. Lineage: Eukaryota; Metazoa; Chordata; Actinopteri; Cypriniformes; Xenocyprididae.
AUUUGGACUGGAUUAUUAGAUUUACAGAGCUAUAUGACCUCUUGUAAUGAAACCAUGGUUGCAAUAGAUACCUUUACCAAUAAAUCAUUGAAUUGAUCCAUUAAAAUCUCAUCGUGUUUGUUGGCAGGGUGGGUUUUGGGUUUGUUGAAAAAAGAAAAUAAAUAUUAAUUCAUAACACACACUGUGUAAAUCUACAUAUUACAUAAUGAUCGUUUAAACAUAGUUUUAAAAGAAGUAACGUUAUAUCAGACGUUCGCCUAUUGAGGUGGUAACCAUAGCAACAUCUCGAGCGGUUUCCGUUAGGACGGGACGUCGCAGGGUGGGAGCUGUCGUAGGAUGCCUUUGAUACAGGUCUGAUGGGGGAACGAGUGAGGAUUUCCUCACAAUUUAACCAACGGCUGAUUAAAGGUAUAUCAAAGAUUCUGGACGAGGCCUGGCGAAAACGAUUACGAGCAAAUCUGCAGGAGGAAAUGGACGGCUUAACCGAUUUCAUACAGGAGUCAUAAAAAUAACAGCAUAUGAGAUUGGGACAUCAUGAUGAGUGAUUUCACCUCUUCAAACCUCCUGACGCCCUGGAGCCAGGAUGUGGGGUUCGCUGGUGGCAAACACUCGACAGCUCUAGCAUUACCUACAGUCUAAAAGAUUUGAAAAUGUCAGUAACAGAUAAAGAAGGGAAACAUUCUAUAUUUGAGUACAACAGUUACAAAUACAGCCAUUCAAAGGAGGCAGUAAAAAUACAGACAAAGAUUCUAGAAUGAAAGUAAAAAAUAUUGGCAGAAACAUUCUAUAGCUGCAGUAACAAAAACAGGCAGAUACAUCUGAGAACAACCUUGAUGAAUACAGUCAGAAACAUUUUAGAAUAACUGUAACAAAUACAGGCAGAAAAAUCUUAGAGCGCUCGUAACAAAUACAGGCGGAAAUGUUCUAGAAUAGCUGUAACAAACAGGCAGAGAAAUCUUUGAACGCUCAUAAAAAAAUACAGGCAGAAACGUUCUAGAAUAGCUGUAACAAACAGGCAGAAAAAUCUUUGAACGCUUGUAACAAAUACAGGCGGAAAUGUUCUAGAAUAGCUGUAACAAACAGGCAGAAAAAUCUUUGAACGCU